This 345-nucleotide ribosomal RNA is filed under the name Triticum aestivum (bread wheat). Its description in RNAcentral is "partial small subunit ribosomal RNA". Lineage: Eukaryota; Viridiplantae; Streptophyta; Magnoliopsida; Poales; Poaceae. The record is from RNAcentral.
AUGGCGACGCCGAGCAAGUCCGGCUUGGAGCAGCACUUGUUCCGCAUCACCCUCUCCUCCAACUCCAACAGCGUCCACGACCUAGACAAGGUGUGCUCCGACGUGGUCAAGGCCGCCGAGGAGAAGCUGGUCCGGGUGAAGGGCCCGGUCAGGAUGCCCACCAAGGUGCUCAGCAUCACCACCAGGAAGUCACCCUGCGGACAAGGUACCAACACAUGGGAUCGGUUCGAGAUGCGGGUGCACAAGAGGGUCGUCGACCUCGUCGGCUCCCUGGACAUCAUUAAGCAGUUCCCAGUCCCCAUCCCGCCCACCGUCCACGUUGAGGUCACCAUCACCGACCUUUAA